RNAcentral lists this ribosomal RNA (253 nucleotides) under uncultured bacterium. RNAcentral's name for it is "partial 16S ribosomal RNA". It matches the Rfam family "Bacterial small subunit ribosomal RNA", at positions 524 to 776 of the family's 1533-position model. The record is from RNAcentral.
UACAGAGGUGGCAAGCGUUGUUCGGAAUUACUGGGCGUAAAGGGCGCGUAGGUGGCCUUGUCAGUCAGACGUGAAAUCCCCAGGCUUAACCUGGGAACUGCGUCUGAUACUACAAGGCUUGAGUGCGGGAGAGGGAUGUGGAAUUCCAGGUGUAGCGGUGAAAUGCGUAGAUAUCUGGAGGAACACCGGUGGCGAAGGCGGCAUCCUGGACCGACACUGACGCUGAGGCGCGAAAGCUAGGGGAGCAAACGGG